GUUUCCGUAGGUGAACCUGCGGAAGGAUCAUUACCGAGUGCGGGAACCCAGUCGGGUCCCAAUCUCCCACCCGUGUCUACCACACCUAGUGUUGCUUUGGCGGGCCCACUCCUCCGGUGUUCCGCCGGGGGGGUCGUCCCGGGGCGCGGUGUGCCCCCGGGGCCCGUGCCCGCCAGAGGCACUCACUGUGAACGCUUUUGUGAAUGCGAGGAUUGUCUGAGUGACGAAAUGCAAUCGUUCAAAACUUUCAACAAUGGAUCUCUUGGUUCCGGCAUCGAUGAAGAACGCAGCGAAAUGCGAUAAGUAAUGUGAAUUGCAGAAUUCCGUGAAUCAUCGAAUCUUUGAACGCACAUUGCGCCCUCUGGUAUUCCGGGGGGCAUGCCUGUCCGAGCGUCAUUGCGAACCCUCAAGCACGGCUUGUGUGUUGGGCCGCCGUCCCCUCGUUUGGAGGGGACGGGCCUGAAAGGCAGCGGCGGCGUCGCGUCCGGUCCUCGAGCGUAUGGGGCUCUGUCACGCGCUCAAGGAGGGGUCCGGCCGGGGCCAUAGCCUCUGAAGGUCAAUUCUUCCAAGGUUGACCUCGGAUCAGGUAGGAGUACCCGCUGAACUUAAGCAUAUCAAU
This 619-nucleotide ribosomal RNA is filed under the name Thermomyces lanuginosus. Its description in RNAcentral is "eukaryotic LSU rRNA". The stretch from base 243 to 396 matches the Rfam family "5.8S ribosomal RNA". The record is from RNAcentral. Lineage: Eukaryota; Fungi; Ascomycota; Eurotiomycetes; Eurotiales; Trichocomaceae.